RNAcentral lists this small RNA (331 nucleotides) under Arabidopsis thaliana (thale cress). RNAcentral describes it as "ATSL141450". Lineage: Eukaryota; Viridiplantae; Streptophyta; Magnoliopsida; Brassicales; Brassicaceae. The record is from RNAcentral.
AACAAAACAUUUUAUUAAUUUAAAGAGGUUAAAAACAUAGUAAAUGAGAAGCUUGACAAAUAUAAAUAUAAAGAAAAUGCCUAUAAUUAUUUUUCAGAAAACAUCCUCUUCUACUAUAAUGCCUUAAGUAUGGCUUCAUUUAAUUGCGUAGAACGCCGGAUCUGCUAAUAGGUUUUAAGCGCUCAAAACUACAAAGAUCAGUCCGAAGGCAUAAACUAUACACAAGAUUCCCAGAGUUCAGUUCGCUAAAACUUGGUCGAUAGAGAAAACAACACUAAUUAAUGAAUACGGACUAAUUUGAAACAUGGAAUCAUCAUGAUUGAUACCAAAA